RNAcentral lists this ribosomal RNA (200 nucleotides) under uncultured bacterium. RNAcentral describes it as "partial 16S ribosomal RNA". It matches the Rfam family "Bacterial small subunit ribosomal RNA", at positions 29 to 260 of the family's 1533-position model. The record is from RNAcentral.
AGUGAACGCUGGCGGUGCGCCUAAAACAUGCAAGUCGAGUGGGUUCAGACCCACGGCAGACGGCUGCGUAACACAUGGGUACCUACCCCGAACUCAGGAAUAUCCCGCCGAAAGGCGGAGUAAUGCCGGAUAGUCCCGCAAGGGUAAAGCUUUCGCGGUUCGGGAGGGGCCUGUGCCCUAUCAGUUAAUUGGUGAGGUAA